RNA transcript from Cornus florida, 4279 nucleotides. RefSeq lists it as uncharacterized. The transcript has 4 exons. The record is from RefSeq and is a predicted model, not a curated record. Lineage: Eukaryota; Viridiplantae; Streptophyta; Magnoliopsida; Cornales; Cornaceae.
CUUCUCGCAUUUCUACCUGCGGCGACCCUUUUGAUAAUGUGUGAACCUUCUAAGCCCCGAAGUCGACAAGAAUAACCUUCUGAACCUUGGAAUGGUUCACCUUCUGAAAUCUGAACCUCUCGGAAAAUGGUUCAUCAUCAUUUUCCUUUUUUAUAUAUUGAUGAUGAUUUUAUCUUUACCAGGUAUUGGUGGAGAUGGCAAACCCUCCCUACCAUCGAUCUUCAUUUUGACAACCGUGUUGCUGAAAAAUAUCGAUCAGACGAUCUCGACGAUGAUAAAGAAGAACAAACCCUCAACAAUUCCAAGGAAGAUAUAGCCAGUGCAGUGUCUUUCCGGCGCAGAUCUCGAAAAACCAGAUUUGGGCGUUUUGGUCCGAGCCCACUCUCUCUGCUUCCAGAUGUAGAUCUGAAAGGUUCUCUCUGUGAAUUUUCAAAUCGCUUGGCAAGUUACAGAUGAAAUCUGUAAAGGGUUGAUGAAGGACUGCUCAUGUAUGGGAAGCACUGAUUGUAAUAUAAAUUUAAUGUGGAUGAGGAUGGGAUGAAGAACACCACCUUGGAAUCCUUGGCUGUUUGUUCAGCCAAAAAUGGCACAGAGUGUAUUCCACAUUAAAUUUAUAUUGCAAACAGUGCUUCCUUUAAGUGUAUUGCAAAGAGUACCCACAGUGCAAUUUCGCUCUAGCUUGUGGCAUUUCGGCUUCUUUUGCUUUCCCAGUGUUUCACAACUCUUUCCAGGAAAUGCCUUGGAGUACUUGAGUUUGUAACUAGUACAGAUUUCAGAGCUUUAAACAAUAGGCGUGAUUGGUUUUUGAGGCAUGCGGUCAAGGUUUGUCAAAACCCCAAAUUUUUACUUAUAUUCUUCUAAUUAAUUUCAUAAGAAGAUGGUAUGAUUGCUAUCAUAUUUGUAGAUGAUAUAUAUAUAUAUAUAUAUGAAAUUUUAUUUUCAUUAAAUUAACCUUACAAAAUUGUUCACUUCUCUUCACUUGCUGGAUGUAGAUCUGAAAGGUUCUCUCUGUGAAUUUUCAAUUCGUUUGGCAAGUUACAGGUGUAAUAUGCAGAUGUGAUUUAUAUAUGGUGUUCUUUUUUCCUUAUUUAUAUGUUUUAAGUACUAUAUUCUCAUUAACAAAUGUCUAUACCACACCACACUUAGCAAUCCAGAUUCUCUAUGAAGGUUAUCAAAAUGCACUUGGAUGAAAUCUGUAAAGGGUUGAAAGUGGUGUGCAGAACUGACAAGUUACCUUUGGCUCACACGGGGACUCUGUGCGGCCAUUACUGUGCCUGUAAGGGACAAGUCUUGCACCUUCAAAGGUCAUCCUAUGUUGGAGAUGAUAAUAAUCUUCUAGUGAAAUUCUUAGGAAUCUGUUGGCAGAAUGACUUACAAAAGGGGCUGGGAGUUUUUGCUUUUUAAGGGUUUUCAUGCCAAAUGCAUGUUGUUUAACUGUCCAGAUCAUAUAUAGAUAUAAAUCUUUUGUUUUGGUUAUUGAUUAUUUUUUUAAUCGUUAUGAUUUGCAAUAUAUAGAAGAACAUUGCCCUCUUUUUGGUGUCUAGAAGUUGCACUGUGUUCAUGAUAUAAUCUAAGAAUAGAGGAUUUUAUCACAGCGGCUUACUUUCUGUGGUUUGUCAAAUUGUUGCUUAAUUUAGCACUUUCUAUAUCCAAGCUCCCACUUUGUUCUCUAGGAUUGCCAAGUCUUCUACUGUUUUAGUUGAAAGAACAUUUUUAUUUGAAAGAGAAGACCUUGUUGAAAUGUAAUAUGUAUGUUCAAAGGGAAAGAAGCAACUUCCGUUUUUGUAGGAUACAGCCCAUUUUGUGUGUGUUGCCAUGACAUAAAUGAUCCAAUUGUUUUGGCCUCGACUUCUCGUGGGAUAUGAAUCCACUAUACCCCAAAUGAUUUAUUUGUUUCUUCUAUAUGGAGUUGGCAUGUCAAUCAAGUAGAGAAUUGAAAUGUAUCAGCGGUUCCAGAUGCUCUUGUUACGACUGCAACAAUCAUUAGGCAACCGAACAACUCUGAGAAUCCACUAGUUGUACAAGCUCACACUAUGUCCUGUUCCUAUACCUAACUGAACAAGCAUGGUUUCUUCCACAACUAAGUACUGGGCCUAAGGUGAAAGACAUGAUCAUGAAGGCUACGUACAGAGAAAAUAUUGUAAGGCUUCUACUUUAUUUUAAUUCUAGUUGCUUCAAUAAAUUUACUUUGUCAAGGUGACUAAUUAAACCAGUCAUGUUGAAAUAAUGCUAGUAUAAUUCCGUUUAGUCUGGGGAUAUUGUUGACUGAGAAGAGAGGAACUGAGUGUCUCUCCCAAGAGGUCAGGCAUUGGAAUUUGAGGAAGUUCCCAAUCCUGAUUGACUGAUCGCGCGCGCACACACACACACACACACACACACACACACACACACACACCAUGUAUUAUGAGGAAAAAAUGUGUAGACAUGAUGUUUAUAUUCUUCCCUUUGACACAAGUUUUUUUCUUUUCUUAAUUGGUGUUCUAUUAAAGAAAGAUCAAGCAUUACAGCGCACAGAGGGCAUACCCUCAAAGAAGAAGUAAAUAAAUUCCCCUCCAAUAAUGAGAAGGCCCAUUUCCAGUACAUCUAAAAGUUUAUAUUUCAAUUUUCAGUAUAGCAAAGUCAUAUUUGAUUGUGACCAAAAACAAUUGUGGGGAAGAUGAGGUACUGACUAUAUUAAUGAGGAACAACCAUGUGAAAGUUGAAUUAAUAUUCAUUUUCUUCGAGUUCAAACAUAAGUUUCAUUACUCUUGGUGCUUUGUAGAGAGCUACGAUCUUAUUGGUAAUGAAUAUUCAUUUGCUUCGAGUUCAAACAUAAGUUUCACUACUCCUGGAGUAUUGUUGAGAGCUACGAUCUUGUCACUUACUGAUAUGCAUGCGUUGUGGCAUUAAUAAAAAAAGGUGUCAUUGUGGAGCAUGGUUGAUCAUAUGAUUGAUUUGUGAAUUAGAAGAGAGGGCAGAAAAUAGGGAGUGUGCAAUUAGAAGGAAUGACAUUGCCCCAUGCUAUGUAUAAUGAUUAUAGAAAUAGAUGGACUUUGUAAAGAUCUUUGUGGUUUCUUCAUUCCUCCCUUUUGAUUGCACUGAAACUUAAAUAGUAAAAUCUUUUGUUUUAAGACCUGAUAUUUUGUUUGUUCAGUUAAUUUUUUUGUUGUAGAAAUUACUUAGUUUGGGUUUGAGAUUAGUUGUUUGUGUAUCAUAUAUGAAGAUAUCAUAUAGUAUCAUUUUUCUGUCCUUUUUUUACUUUUGAUUUGGUGAUAUUACUGAAAUUUAAUAAACAAAUUUACUUAAAUGCAACUAUAAAAUAAUUUGCGUAGUUACAGCUAACAGCAUAUUUGAUGGUUGUCUGAAUCUUAUUUUCACUGUGUCGUAUAUUUGUUGAAUUUAGCUUCUUCUUCGUUGACUUUAGUUGAAAUGUUAAAUGUUCUGAUUGAGCUGCCUGGUAAAAGUACUGGUGACAGAAACUUGGUGUUGUCCAUCUUUUUCGCUAAAAGAUCCUUGUUUGCUAAAAUACUAUUUCACUCUAAACUGUUCCCCUGUUAGUUUGAAAUUGUUUGGCUAUAGAACGCCAAUUGUUUCAAUUGGCUGUUGAAUAAAAUAAACUGAAAUUUGGUGGCAAUUUCAAACAAUGCUAUGUUGGUGAGUAUGUGGCCUUACAAAUACGUGAAUGCCAGCAAUCUGCUCUUAAACUUGAUUUUUUUUUUUUUUUUCCCCCACAAGUUGCUUUGUGAGUUUAUUGAGAUGUGCUUCACUAAAAUGCUCCUUGAGGUUAUUUUAUUGCAUCUUUCCAUCUCAAAUGAUGGGGUUGAUGGAUACAGAAGCUUGAAGGUCCCAAAGACGCCUGCCUGAGCGUUUUGUUCUGUUAACAUACUGAGAAUUAAUUUUUCAUUGAUAUCUUCUUGUUCAAUAUUUCAAAAUGCAGGGAAACGGAAAAGCAUUUUGUGCUCGUGGUUGUGUUAGGGCUGCAAUUUAUACCAUAAGUACUGCAGGGCACUGGUGGAGCUUUACCGCAGAGUUUUUUUCUUUUCUUCUAGAUGGUGCGUCUCUGGAUAAUAAAUGCUGGAAGAGGAGGUGUGCGGGAGGCUGGAAGUUAUACGAUCAAACGUAAAGAAUGCGACGAUCAGAUCUUGAUAGCCUCCAACGAGGACAUUGUAUUGCCAUGCUCUUCUUUUUUUCCUUGUAUCUUCCCUUUCUAAUAUUUUGUAAACUGGAAAGUUUGAAACACCACCAUUGUUAUUGGAGCUAUAUAUAAAAAAAUAAAAAAAUACUAAAAAACCUUUUCAUA